GGGAAGAUGGCCGAGUGGUUAUGGCGCUACGUUCAGGUCUUGGCAGCGAUUCAAUCGCUCUGGGUAUCGUAGUAGGGCAACCUGCGUGGGUUCGAGUCCCACUCUUCUCA
Molecule: non-coding RNA, 110 nt
Organism: Onygenales sp. PD_40
Lineage: Eukaryota; Fungi; Ascomycota; Eurotiomycetes; Onygenales
Source: the annotation of a GenBank genome assembly